GAUUCUACAAAACACUUACUUUGAAAUUGUCUAUAUUUUGUAGUAUAAUGUUCAUGUCUGUCGUCAUAGUAAAGAUCUCUCAACCAUCACAUAAGGGUUAGAAUGUUUUAUCGAGUAUACUUUUCAUACCCAUUCUAAUACUUAUUGUCAAAUCAAAUUUAAGUUGACACAUUGACCAUAAUAAUAUCCAUUAAGCCCCAGUCCCACUAGACCACGAUCGCACCACGCUCACUGCGAUCUAAAAUAAAUUCAGAUCGUGGUAAGGUCGCAGUAUGAGCGGCAUGAAAAUGUAUAUUUUCGUUGCCUCCAUGAUGCUACGACCUCAUUACGCUUCUACAACGACCCCGCUAUGAUUGUACCACGUUCUCACCGCGCUUAUUCUGUGAACCCACUACGCUUAUCAAGAUCUUUCUACGCUCAUCACGUUCUCACUACGACCAUACCAGAAGUUUUCCGAUUUCAACACGAUCUUACCACGCUUCUACUGCAAUUAUAGCACGUUCUUUCCACGAGUAUACUGCGUUCAUACCGCAAUCUUACUACGUUCACAGCAAUGACGUCAACAUCGUGUUCCAUAUCAAUACGAUUCCAUUCCUUCUUUUUCUGAUUAAUACGUAGAUUUCUCAGAAACAACAUGUCAUGCCACCAAAAUAUACAAGAACACUUGGGAGUGGUGAUAAGGGGACAGAGGCAGAGGGAGCUUUGAUAGUAACGAAUCCUGAUCCAUGUCUGACCUACCAAUCCAACCUGAAUCACAACCUAUUGCUGGUCCAUCAAGCUCAAAUGACGAUGUGUUAGCGAACGAUAGCAGGGAUGACACAGAUGUGUCAAGCAUGGUCGAGCCAUUAGAGAAAACGGACAAGAGGUCCAAUUUACAUACAGUCAAACAAAACAUUGAGAGCUUUUAUACAUUUUAUGUGACAACUAGAAAGAGC
This 935-nucleotide long non-coding RNA is filed under the name Mytilus galloprovincialis (Mediterranean mussel). Lineage: Eukaryota; Metazoa; Mollusca; Bivalvia; Mytilida; Mytilidae. The record is from RNAcentral.